RNAcentral lists this ribosomal RNA (253 nucleotides) under uncultured bacterium. RNAcentral describes it as "partial 16S ribosomal RNA". It matches the Rfam family "Bacterial small subunit ribosomal RNA", at positions 524 to 776 of the family's 1533-position model. The record is from RNAcentral.
UACGAAGGGGGCUAGCGUUGCUCGGAAUUACUGGGCGUAAAGCGCACGCAGGUGGCUGAGUCAGUCGAUUGUGAAAGCCCUGGGCUUAACCUAGGAAUUGCAGUCGAUACUACUCGGCUAGAGUAUGGGAGAGGGCAGUGGAAUUCCCGGCGUAGCGGUGAAAUGCGUAGAUAUCGGGAGGAACAUCAGUGGCGAAGGCGGCUGCCUGGCCCAAUACUGACACUCAGGUGCGACAGCGUGGGGAGCAAACAGG